This 460-nucleotide ribosomal RNA is filed under the name uncultured bacterium. RNAcentral's name for it is "partial 16S ribosomal RNA". It matches the Rfam family "Bacterial small subunit ribosomal RNA", at positions 338 to 795 of the family's 1533-position model. The record is from RNAcentral.
CCUACGGGUGGCAGCAGUGAGGAAUAUUGGACAAUGGGCUUACGCCUGAUCCAGCCAAGCCGCGUGAGGGAAGACUGCCCUAUGGGUUGUAAACCUCUUUUGUCAGGGAGCAACGCCGGCUACGUGUAGCCGGACUGAGAGUACCUGAAGAAAAAGCAUCGGCUAACUCCGUGCCAGCAGCCGCGGUAAUACGGAGGAUGCGAGCGUUAUCCGAAUUUAUGGGGUGAAAGGGGUGCGUAGGCGGAAUGCCAAGUCAGCGGUAAAAGCGCGGGGCUCAACCUCGCUCCGCCGUUGAAACUGGCGGUCUUGAGUGGGCGAGAGGUAUGCGGAAUGCGUGGUGUAGCGGUGAAAUGCAUAGAUAUCACGAAGAACUCCGAUUGCGAAGGCAGCAUACCGGCGCCCAACUGACGCUGAAGCACGAAAGCGUGGGUAGCGAACAGGAUUAGAUACCCGAGUAGUC